UCCGACUUAACGUCGGCAGUCCUUCUAGAGUGCCCAACUAAAUGCUGGCAACUAAAAGCAAGGGUUGCGCUCGUUGCGGGACUUAACCCAACAUCUCACGACACGAGCUGACGACAGCCAUGCAGCACCUGUGAACAGACCCUUGCGGGCGACGACAUUUCUGCCAGUCUUCCUGUCCAUGUCAAACCCAGGUAAGGUUCUUCGCGUUGCAUCGAAUUAAACCACAUGCUCCACCGCUUGUGCGGGCCCCCGUCAAUUUCUUUGAGUUUUAAUCUUGCGACCGUACUCCCCAGGCGGGACACUUAACGCGUUAGCUGCGUCACUGAAGGGGUCAAUACCUCCAACAACAAGUGUCCAUCGUUUACGGCGUGGACUAC
Molecule: unclassified non-coding RNA, 377 nt
Filed under: uncultured Pseudobdellovibrionaceae bacterium
Lineage: Bacteria; Pseudomonadati; Bdellovibrionota; Bdellovibrionia; Bdellovibrionales; Pseudobdellovibrionaceae
Description: uncultured Bdellovibrionaceae bacterium contains 16S-23S intergenic spacer region
Source: RNAcentral